RNAcentral lists this long non-coding RNA (456 nucleotides) under Anser cygnoides (Swan goose). RNAcentral's name for it is "lncRNA (ENSACDG00005004615.1)". The record is from RNAcentral. Lineage: Eukaryota; Metazoa; Chordata; Aves; Anseriformes; Anatidae.
AUGCACUUAAAUCCUUCUGCACACACUAUAGAAAGGUCUAUUGCAUUUAUUCUAGCCUCUCACAGAUCCUUAAGGUUUUAUGGGUGCUUUAAAGCAGAAAUAAAGAUCCUUUUUUAUAUCCAAAAACCAGAUGUCUCUCAAACUGCCAUCCUAUUCCCCACAACUGUAGUUAUUUUCUCUUUAAGAUGUUGCAUCUGGACCACAGUCCUUUGCCUUUCCUUUUCUAGAGAUGUGCAGGCUUACAGCGGAAGUCUCCUGCUCCCCUCACCCCAGAGGUCGGCGCGGCGUUUAGGAGCAGAGAAUGAAACCUGCUCACAGCUGUGUCAGGUCCUGGCCUCGGCAGGAGCACACGUGGGAGAACCUUCGGCAAGGAGAGAAGAGAGGAUUUGCCCGAUGACACUUCUGGCUGAGCAGCGACUCGUUCAAGUCCUUGAGCUUCUUGUUAACUUGGAAUAA